UACGGGGGGAACGAGCGUUGUUCGGAUUUACUGGGCGUAAAGGGCACGCAGGCGGGGAGACAAGUCAGAUGUGAAAACCCAAAGCUUAACUCUGGGCCUGCAUUUGAUACUGUUUCUCUUGAGUACGGGAGAGGAUAGCGGAAUUCUUGGUGUAGCGGUGAAAUGCGUAGAUAUCAAGAAGAACACCGGUGGCGAAGGCGGCUAUCUGGCCCGAUACUGACGCUCAUGUGCGAAGGCAAGGGGAGCAAAC
Molecule: ribosomal RNA, 250 nt
Filed under: uncultured bacterium
Lineage: Bacteria
Description: partial 16S ribosomal RNA
Rfam family: Bacterial small subunit ribosomal RNA
Source: RNAcentral